This is a long non-coding RNA of Rhopalosiphum padi (bird cherry-oat aphid), 1807 nucleotides long. RefSeq lists it as uncharacterized. NCBI's taxonomy places the organism in Eukaryota, Metazoa, Arthropoda, Insecta, Hemiptera, Aphididae. The transcript is spliced from 4 exons. The record is from RefSeq and is a predicted model, not a curated record.
GUGCUGUUUAUUUUCAUAAAAUAUCUUUAUACUCCCAUUUAGAAUCAUGAUGAAGAUCGUAUGAAGAAAAUUUGGAGUUUCUUCGGCGGCGGUGCACCACUCCAUAUACACGAUUAGCAAUAUCAUUAGGAAGCUGAUGAAGUGAUGAAUAACAAGAAAAAGUGUCGCAGGGCUGUGUUUGUUUAAUACUAUAAUUUUUUGAACAGUAGUACAGUAUAUUAUGAAUAUUUACUUAAAUUAUAUUUAAUUUUUAUGGUUUUUUUUCUGAUAAUAUACUGUACUACGGUUUUAGGUGUUCUUUUUAUUUUAAUAAUACAUUGAAAAAUUACCAAUUUUUUCAAUUUUUUUUCUUAUCACAAAGCAAGUUUGUCUUUGUGUAUGUUUAAAUUUAUAUUUUUUAUAGUUAUUGUAUUGUUUAACUUUCUUAUAAAAGAGAGUGAGGAAUUAAAAAGGUGGCCACCGAACAGAAAGUUAAACUGCAAUAUACUAUAAUCAUUUUAGUUCUUGUUUACAUUUUUAACUGAUAAUUUAUCAGUGAUAAAUUAUGAAUAUAAAAUUUCAAAUUAAUUUAAAUUCAAAAAUAAAAGAACACCAACAUAAAUUUCUUAAACAUUAAAAUUUUACUUUAAGUUUAAAUUACAUUUAAUCAGCACAUUAGUUGAAGUUUUAUAGGAACCGAACAUUUGGCUGGAUCAUGGACUACCCAUCGUCGGAGAAUUUGUCACAAAGCUGAUGGGAAAUGUGUCGGCACUCGGCUUCGUUUCACCCGGAGGAAGAUUAGCAGCAUCAAUAAGAAGCUCAUCUUAAUAUCAACUGUCCAAAGAAUUGUGAAGAAGAAGAAGUUGUCACAAAGCUGAUGGGAAAUGUGUCGGCACUCGGCUUCGUAUCAACCCGGAGGAAGAUUUGCAGCAUCAAAAAGAAAUUCAACUGAUAAUCAACUGUCAAAAGGUGAAGAAGAAGUUGUCACAAAGCUGAUGGGAAAUGUGUCGGCACUCGGCUUCGUUUCAACCCGGAGGAAGAUUUGCAGCAUCAAAAAGAAAUUGAACUGAUAAUGAACUGUCGAAAGGUGAAGAAGAAGUUGUCACAAAGCUGAUGGGAAAUGUGUCGGCACUCGGCUUCGUUUCAACCCGGAGGAAGAUUGGCAGCAUCAAUAAGAAGCUCAUCUUAAUUUAGUUGUCCCCCCUUUACGCAUUAGCGCUCAUCUCUCAUCCACUCAUCCAACACAUUGACUAUCGCCGGCCGGCAACACACACAUAUUAUACACAUUACCCGUUUUAUAUUAUAUAAAAUUAUUAAUAUCUACAUAGUUUAAGUUAUUGUAUAUUUUUUUUAUUAUUAUUUGAAUGCAUUCAUAUGAUCUGUGGCGUAUUUAGGAAUUUUAGGAUAAGGGCAACACAUAUUUUGCCGCCUCUCCUCUAUUAAAAAAAAUUAAAAAACUUCUAUGCCACGCAAUGGUGAAACUGAUAAUACCAUAGAAUACCAUGUUAUAUAAAUACUAUAGUAUUUUAUACCUCCAUGGCACACAUUUGUUGUGAAAAAUAUUAAUGAUUGACGUCACUGCGACAGUACUCUUAAAGUACGAAAUAAAAAUUUGCUGCCCCUCUAAAUCUUUAAAAAUUUGCCGUUCUGGACAACUGGACCCAAAGCCCCUACCUAAAUACGCCCCUGCAUAUAAUGCGUUCGAUGUGGAUUAGGCCUACUGGGGACACCACAAUAAAAAAACGCGCCUCGUGUAAUACCUCAUAAAGUUAUUAAACAAUACGGACAAUGUUAUUGUACGUCGUUUAAUAAUAAAGGUGGUGUGGAA